GUACGUAUGGGGCGAGCGUUGUUCGGAGUUAUUGGGUGUAAAGGGCGUCUAGGCGGGAGAUUAAGUUAGAUGUGAAAGGCGUGGGCUUAACCCACGAAUUGCAUCUAAAACUGGUUUUCUUGAGUUCGGGAGAGGAGAGCGGAAUUCUUGGUGUAGCGGUGAAAUGCGUAGAUAUCGAGAAGAACACCAGUGGCGAAGGCGGCUCUCUGGCCUAGAACUGACGCUGAAGCGCGAAAGCGUGGGUAGCGAACGGGAUUAGAUACCCCUGUAGUCCCUGAG
This 279-nucleotide ribosomal RNA is filed under the name uncultured prokaryote. RNAcentral's name for it is "partial 16S ribosomal RNA". It matches the Rfam family "Bacterial small subunit ribosomal RNA", at positions 523 to 801 of the family's 1533-position model. The record is from RNAcentral.